Roridomyces roridus is the source of this 94-nucleotide non-coding RNA. The record is from the annotation of a GenBank genome assembly. Lineage: Eukaryota; Fungi; Basidiomycota; Agaricomycetes; Agaricales; Mycenaceae.
GGCCGCGUGGCAAAAUGGUUACUGCGUUGCUUUCCGGCUACAGCAUUAGCUUCUGGUUAGGCAGAGAUUGUGCGUUCGAUCCGCACCGUGGUCG